AGUGAACGCUGGCGGUAGGCCUAACACAUGCAAGUCGAACGGCAGCACAGUAAGAGCUUGCUCUUACGGGUGGCGAGUGGCGGACGGGUGAGGAAUACAUCGGAAUCUACUUUUUCGUGGGGGAUAACGUAGGGAAACUUACGCUAAUACCGCAUACGACCUACGGGUGAAAGCAGGGGAUCUUCGGACCUUGCGCGAUUGAAUGAGCCGAUGUCGGAUUAGCUAGUUGGCGGGGUAAAGGCCCACCAAGGCGAUGAUCCGUAGCUGGUCUGAGAGGAUGAUCAGCCACACUGGAACUGAGACACGGUCCAGACUCCUACGGGAGGCAGCAGUGGGGAAUAUUGGACAAUGGGCGCAAGCCUGAUCCAGCCAUACCGCGUGAGUGAAGAAGGCCUUCGGGUUGUAAAGCCCUUUUGUUGGGAAAGAAAAGCAGCAGGUUAAUACCCCGCUGUUCUGACGGUACCCAAAGAAUAAGCACCGGCUAACUUCGUG
RNAcentral lists this ribosomal RNA (492 nucleotides) under uncultured bacterium. Its description in RNAcentral is "partial 16S ribosomal RNA". It matches the Rfam family "Bacterial small subunit ribosomal RNA", at positions 29 to 507 of the family's 1533-position model. The record is from RNAcentral.